Molecule: ribosomal RNA, 427 nt
Filed under: uncultured bacterium
Lineage: Bacteria
Description: bacterial SSU rRNA
Rfam family: Bacterial small subunit ribosomal RNA
Source: RNAcentral
UGGGGAAUUUUGGACAAUGGGCGAAAGCCUGAUCCAGCAAUGCCGCGUGCAGGAUGAAGGCCUUCGGGUUGUAAACUGCUUUUGUACGGAACGAAAAAGCUUCUCCUAAUACGAGAGGCCCAUGACGGUACCGUAAGAAUAAGCACCGGCUAACUACGUGCCAGCAGCCGCGGUAAUACGUAGGGUGCAAGCGUUAAUCGGAAUUACUGGGCGUAAAGCGUGCGCAGGCGGUUAUGUAAGACAGAUGUGAAAUCCCCGGGCUCAACCUGGGAACUGCAUUUGUGACUGCAUGGCUAGAGUACGGUAGAGGGGGAUGGAAUUCCACGUGUAGCAGUGAAAUGCGUAGAUAUGCGGAGGAACACCGAUGGCGAAGGCAAUCCCCUGGACCUGUACUGACGCUCAUGCACGAAAGCGUGGGGAGCAAACA